Molecule: microRNA precursor, 51 nt
Filed under: Ciona intestinalis (vase tunicate)
Lineage: Eukaryota; Metazoa; Chordata; Ascidiacea; Phlebobranchia; Cionidae
Description: microRNA cin-mir-4078 precursor
Source: miRBase by way of RNAcentral
CCUUGUAGGAGUAAAGGGAAACGUUUACAGUUUCACUUUGCCACUGCAGGU